UGUUGAGGCCCGCAAAACAGUUGAUGAGUUUGCGGGGGUGGUGGAGGGUCUCAACGCACUAGGAGGAAUUGGUGAUGAUUCUAAAAUGUAAAGUUGUCAAGAAAGCCACUGAUUUACAAGUCCCAUGUAUGCUGCCACUAUCGAAUUAUAUUACCUUCCCAGGAAUAUUUCCAACAGUUUGAAAGAUGAUAAGGUUUAUAUCGAUGAGUAGGAGGAAUUAUGACAAAGAUUCAGAGAAAUAUUGACAUCCAUAUUGAGACUCAUUUGAUGGUUUGUUUUAUGGUGAGCAGUUUGAGAAUGUUACCAAAAGCGUGUUAAUAUCAAUGUGAGAAUUACGAAUAAAUCUAUAUGUUGCUGGCCCCAAGAAAACAAAUUAUACCUAUUUCGGAGAUGGUAGAGGCCUCGAAGUUACAAAGAUUCAUCCUACUUUGUUACGUAUUCGAUUCGUAAGUGUGCGUGUUCUAGUGUUGUUAUUUUCGUGAAGAUUUGCUAUGCGAUAGAAUAGUUUGCUCGAUGGAUUUCCCCUCCACCCAGUCUGGUACCUUCCUACCCAUCAACGACGUUUCAUCACGGAGAGGAUGAGGAUCGUGGACAUCCGACGCUGGAUAGAUUAAGGUUUCGGUGAACCCUAGUAAGGUCUAGCCGACGCCUAAAAGUAAGUCACUAAUGAAUAUUGUUUCAAAUAGACCCGAGUGCAAGUUUUUAUAUUUCCAUUUGUAUUUGUAUUUUUUGAUUUUUAUUACUUUGGGGCUAAUUUGAUUUUUGCACCCAAUAAGGUGGCUUACAAACGGUAAGUUAGCGUAUUAUUGGGCUCCUCUGGUGGUCCAUUGCCAUAUUAUCCAAUUGAGUCGCUCCGCGUGCUAGGGACCGACGUGUGCAGGCACGGCGCCUGUAUUACGUCAAACUUUGAUUCUUAAUACUUGGAUUACUUAUGUGAUUAUUAGUUGCUGCCUUAGGUCCUUUACGCCGUAUUAUUAUCUACAAGACAUACCUACCUACCGUAUUUAUUGUUGCUUUUUAGGGAUGUGACGUUAGGACACGGAGAACAUUUAAAAUUGUGAUUACCUUAUUUCAAUGCAUACCUACAUACAUGGUGUUUUGUCCACGCUGUCUUUUCGGGGUUUGGUUCCACGUACACCUACAUAUACCAUAAAUAAUAUUAUUUACACUUUUAUUUUAUGUGUAUGUUUACUUGUCACUCAUUGGGUCUAUUUGAUAUUUUUUCAGCUAGUGUAUUUACAAUAGUGUAGUGAGGAAGGAGGAAGACAGCGAAAAGUGUUGCGCGUCAAGGUAUAGUGCAUUACCUAUACCUUCUUCUGGCAUAACAGUGGCGGCGGCUCGCGAAUCGGUUUAAGGUUGGCGCCAAUUCCAAUUUAUUUAAAUUCAUUAAAUUUUUAAUGUUGCCAGUAAAUUGUUCGUUUUUAAUAACUCAUUUGAUAUUUUGUGAAAUUUUAAUUUGAAAUUAAGGGGAAAAUGAAUAACGUCUCAUCUACCGCAUAAAUAUAGGUACAAAUUUUUCGAAAGGAAAAAAUCGUAUUAUUCAUCUUCUCCUUAAUUUAGUAAAUUUUUAAAACUUCAAUUCAGGGUAUCUGCCGUUAUCAC
This 1602-nucleotide long non-coding RNA is filed under the name Agrilus planipennis (emerald ash borer). RNAcentral's name for it is "uncharacterized LOC112904093". The record is from RNAcentral. Lineage: Eukaryota; Metazoa; Arthropoda; Insecta; Coleoptera; Buprestidae.